RNAcentral lists this ribosomal RNA (532 nucleotides) under Echinocucumis hispida. RNAcentral's name for it is "partial 16S ribosomal RNA". It matches the Rfam family "Bacterial large subunit ribosomal RNA", at positions 1809 to 2606 of the family's 2925-position model. The record is from RNAcentral. Lineage: Eukaryota; Metazoa; Echinodermata; Holothuroidea; Dendrochirotida; Ypsilothuriidae.
AAAAACAUAGCCUUUUGAAUUUAUAAAAGGUAAUGCCUGCCCAGUGGUUCUUCUAAACGGCCGCGGUAUCUUGACCGUGCAAAGGUAGCAUAAUCAUUUGUUUCUUAAAUAGAGACCUGUAUGAAUGGCUAAACAUUUUCUAACUGUCUCCUUUCUUUAUUUUUUAAACUUCUAUAAACGUGAUGAAGCGUUAAUAAAAAAGAAAGACGAGAAGACCCUGUCAAGCUUAAACUUAAUAAUAAACACUUUAUUCUAAUAGAUAUAGCAAUUAUUAUAAAUUUAGUUUUGGUUGGGGCAACCAUGGAGUAAAAUAAUCCUCCAUUAUUUUAAAAUGAGAUUACAUCAUUUAAAUAUAUUAAUAAACCAGGAACUCUGGAUAUAGAAAUAGUUACUGCAGGGAUAACAGCGUUAUCUCCUUUAAGAGUUCAUAUUGACAAGGAAGUUUGCGACCUCGAUGUUGGAUUGGGACUACCAAAAGGUGCAGCAGCUUUUUAGAGUUGGACUGUUCGUCCAUUAAUUUCCCACGUGAUCU